UACGUAGGGUGCGAGCGUUAAUCGGAAUAACUGGGCGUAAAGGGUACGCAGGCGGACUUGUAAGUGAGGAGUGAAAUCCCCGUGCUUAACCUGGGAAUUGCAUUUCAUACUGGGAGUCUAGAGUAAUUUAGGGAGGGGUAGAAUUCCACGUGUAGCGGUGAAAUGCGUAGAGAUGUGGAGGAAUACCGAAGGCGAAGGCAGC
RNAcentral lists this ribosomal RNA (202 nucleotides) under uncultured bacterium. RNAcentral describes it as "partial 16S ribosomal RNA". It matches the Rfam family "Bacterial small subunit ribosomal RNA", at positions 524 to 725 of the family's 1533-position model. The record is from RNAcentral.